AAACAAUGAUGACAUUUUUAAGGCUUGUUUCUCAAAACAUUCGCAGUGGCCGCCCAAGAGCUUUCGCCUUCGCCAGGCUUGAGAGCUAAUGCUGUUUUAAUCCUUCCUUGGAUGUCUGAGUUU
This 123-nucleotide small nucleolar RNA is filed under the name Cucumis melo (muskmelon). RNAcentral describes it as "Small nucleolar RNA SNORD14". It matches the Rfam family "Small nucleolar RNA SNORD14". Rfam says of the family: U14 small nucleolar RNA (U14 snoRNA) is required for early cleavages of eukaryotic precursor rRNAs. In yeasts, this molecule possess a stem-loop region (known as the Y-domain) which is essential for function. A similar structure, but with a different consensus sequence, is found in plants, but is absent in vertebrates. The record is from Rfam by way of RNAcentral. Lineage: Eukaryota; Viridiplantae; Streptophyta; Magnoliopsida; Cucurbitales; Cucurbitaceae. RNAcentral also lists the same sequence under 1 other name.